UCAAUUCCAUUUGCAAUGUUGUCAAGGUCUUGCCAAAUAUUGUUUGUGUUUGCGCCCGUGCUUUCACUGUCAACUACAAGUACUUUGACUUGCUCAGUUUCAGAAAUAUUAUCUGUCGUAAUAAUUGACUCUGUGGCAAUAUCAAGAGUUUUACAAAGGUUUUCUUUAUCUGAAGUUAUAUUUCCAUCGUCAUUGACGGUCUUAUGUUCGUUGUCAUUUACAGAUUUUAAAAACGUCUCUAAAUCCUCUUCCAUUUCAAGUUGAGAAAUUAUAUUCUUGGACAAAUAUGUAGAAGUUAGACCGCAUCUUGGAUCAUCUCCAAACAGGGCUUUAAACGGUGUCCUGCCAAUCGUAGAAUGUUGCAACACAGUUCAACAUUCAAAACUAAUAAAAACGCACGAGCAAACCGGUUUGUUUAUGUUCCGUGGCCAGCAAUGGCGGCCGCGAGGAAGGAGAAGUGACACGUGACCGCCAACCAAUCAGAUCGCGCGUAGCGUUUGGUUACUGCUUACGUAUUAUUUUACGAGUGAGUUCAGUAAGUUUAUCAAUUUACGAAAAUGUGGACGUAAAAUAUUACAAUUUAUCUCCCGUUUAGAAUCUUACGAAAGUUUAUAAACUUCCUAGUAAAUUGAUAAACUUACGGAUCUUGUUAUUUUCCGGUGACAUAUACA
Molecule: long non-coding RNA, 671 nt
Organism: Pieris rapae (cabbage white)
Lineage: Eukaryota; Metazoa; Arthropoda; Insecta; Lepidoptera; Pieridae
Exons: 2
Source: RefSeq, a predicted model, not a curated record